CCCCUAGAUGUUCUGGGCCGCACGCGCGCUACACUGAACAGUUCAACAAGUCUUAACCUUGGCCGAUAGGUCUGGGUAAUCUUUGAACGCUGUUCGUGAUUGGGAUAGACCUUUGCAAUUAUGGGUCUUCAACGAGGAAUUCCUAGUAAACGCAAGUCAUCAGCUUGCAUUGAUUACGUCCCUGCCCUUUGUACACACCGCCCGUCGCUCCUACCGAUUGAAUGAUCCGGUGAGGCCCCCGGAAUGGGAUCACUGCCUGGUUCUCCAGAAUGAGAUCCCGUGAAGCUGUCCAAACCUUAUCAUUUAGAGGAAGGAGAAGUCGUAACA
RNAcentral lists this ribosomal RNA (327 nucleotides) under uncultured eukaryote. Its description in RNAcentral is "partial 18S ribosomal RNA". It matches the Rfam family "Eukaryotic small subunit ribosomal RNA", at positions 1470 to 1796 of the family's 1831-position model. The record is from RNAcentral.